GACUCCCUGCUGACCAUCUUCUUUCUCCUGCUUCCAUUGUCUCUUUUCUCUCUCCCUGUCCUCCUCUUCCUGGCCCCUCUCCCCGAUAGGACUGCAGGCUCUGACAGGGUGGCAAACAGUCUUUCUGUGGCUUUUUUAUAGCAAACAGGUGUCUCUUUGGAGACUGGCAGGCCUCCGCGGGUUACUUUCUGACCUCAGAGGGUCGAUCGAGCCACAGAGCUGUUGUUGUGUUCAGGUUAGUGCAAGUUAAGCUGCACCCACAGGACAAGUGAGACACUUGGCAGGUCUCUUAUCACCCAGAGCAGUUAUGAUCGCGGGUAUAAGGCCAAUAUCAUCACUGUUUGCCUUCACAUGCUUUUUGCACUUUCCGCCACUGUUAGAACUCGGAUAUGUGCCAGGUGUUUCACAGGAACAUGCCCUUUGUGUGCGACAUUGGUCUUUCUGCGAUCCAGAGGUGUGACAGUUUGUUAAGAGGUGGUGACUGUAACGUUUGCCAUGACAAACUGCGUCAUAGGCAGUAAUAUAUGUGUGUGUGUGUGUGUGUGUGUGUGUGUAUGCUGCAUACAAUACGUUGCACUUCAAAAGGAAAGUGACACAGAAAUGAAACCGAGUUAGCAAACAGACAGCACUGGAAAGAAAUGUUGGUUCCUCAGUAGUUGGUUCCCAUUGUAUCAGUAAAGCCUGUAUGACCUGUCUGUUGAAAAAUAACAAAAUGAGAAACGUUAACAGUUCGAUUGAUGUUUAUCUUACUCAUGUCAGAGGCCAGUAUGCCAUGAAACAAAAGCAAAUAUUAAUGUUGCAAUCGCCGAGGUAGAUAAAACCGAUGUGUUAAUUAAUCGACAACCGAUUUGAUCUUUCAACCUACUUUUAGAGGGGAAAGUGAAUGCAGAUUGAAUGAUCGGAAAUACCUGCAUAUUGUAUGUAGUAUCAGGACUCUGACUUGACUGCUUAUUGUUGGUACUGUAUCCUGAUCUAAAUAAGGGUUGGUGUCAAGAUGGCGCCUUCAUGCCACGUGUUUAUGUAACAGUGAUUAUGGGCAGACCCUUUCAACAUACCCCCCUCCAACAUCACAACUCCUAAUUCCCCUGCAUCGCCCACUGUCAUUUAAAAUCAAUCAGCGUUGGCAUUAGGGAGCAAAUGAGUUAACAAAAAAAGAAGCGAAAGAACCUCUUCUCAUGAACAUCGACAUGUAACGGAGAGAGGAAAAUGUUAAGAAGGAAGAAGCUGUUGAAAAAGAGAGAGAACAAGGGUUACAGAGACAGACGGAGAGGUAGGAGUAGGAGAGCGCUUCCCCCGCCCCUCUCUUAUCCUCAGAUGAACUUUUCGUGUUGCCUCAUAAUGUUUCUGAGUUUUUCUCCUAGAGGCAGUCCGGCUUACUUCCUGCAUUCAGCCUCAACAUAGCUGAUUGGUUGAUAUCUUGGCUGACCAGCCGCGGUUUUACAGCGAGGCAACAGGAAGUUUCUCUUUUCGUGCAGGAAGCAGCAGCUGUUUCAUCCUGACCUACACCACUUUGCACUCUGCACGCAGUCUUUGUAUACGUGCGCAGGAAUAUGUAUGCACAGCCUGCAUGUGUGUGAGUGUGUCUGGCGUGCUCUGUGUGGCAAUAUCGAAUGCUAUAACAUGUAGGCGUGUAGCAGCAUGCCAGGCCAGGCAUCGGAGCUAUCAGAGACAUUUGAAACCAUGGUAACCGCACAUCUUAUCAGCACAUUAGCAAAAGCAUAGAAAAGUGGAACAAAAAGCCGAGGGGAUAGGAGCACAGGAAGAGGAAACUAAACAUUCGAUUUAAAAAAAUUCAGUCACAGUUUCUGUUAUCUAGUCAUCUGAAUGAUUGGUAUACUUUAACUCAUAUGUGUAUAUAUACAUAAACAUAUUUAUUUCAUAUAUAUAUAUAUAUGUCAAAUGUUAAAAACCAAAUGUUAAAAUCCCGUUCUAAUGUUGUGACAAAAUAAUCAAAGAUGUAUAGAUAAUCCUGAUUAUUAAAUUUAGUUUACCUUGUUCGUGUCGAUGGUUGAAAUUUAGUUGACACUGUGAUAGUGAACACAAUGGCCCCCUUAUACUUCGGCCUUAUCUGGCUCAUACUAUCUUUUCAUCAAAUACAUGCCGGACAUGUUUACCUAACUCGUAUGCCUGUGAUCCUAACGUGUGUGUGGCCCUCUAUACUGCAAAAGAGUGGAGUUGAUGGCAAAGGAAAGAUUUUCAUUUGAUGAACAAUUAGUGCACCAGGAUCAGAUAGAAUGAGCUUCAUUCAUAUUCACAGGUCAAGCAACUGUUUACCACUGGCUGCUUGUGUGUCAGUACAUGCAUAUGGCAGUGUAUGUCUGUAUACGUGCAUACACGUGAGCAUGAGCCGUGUGUGUUUGCGCCUGGUUAAUGAGGAUGUACAGAACGUCAGAGCGAGCAGCGUGCCAAGUGAGCAUGGAGGAGGCUCAGUGCUCCCGUUCAUGGUCCUUUCAUGUUAUCAGGAAUUCCUGAGGGAAUGGGGAAGAUCAAAAGCAGGUCUGAUAAAAUCACCAUAGCGCCCUAUUGAAGACCAUCCCUUUUUCUCAUAUCUGCCAGAUGCCCAGGCGGCAUUCUUUUCCACAGUAAGACGGGUCACGAGUAAGACAAGACAUCCGUUUGCAUCUUUUUUACUGUGGGAAUUCUUCGUCCUGCAAUUUAUUGUGUGGCAUACUUCCUCUGCCAACUCCAGCUCCCCCACUGCUCCUCCUCCUCUUUGCCCACCAUCACCGACUCCUUCCUUCCUCAUUGAAAUUCUGCCUGGCACAUAGACACUGCCCAUUCUAGGCACAAAGCUCAGGGAGAGAGAGAGAGAGAGAUGGGGGGGUGGGGGGAGUUACACACAAGAACCUGUACCAAUCGUCUGGUGCCCCCUCCGUUGUGUCUGCCAAGCAUUCAUCCCAUCUUCCGGACCAAAGGACCAGGCAAUCCAAUAGGUAUAUUACUGCACCAUUUCAGAGGGGCUUUUGUUGGCAACUGAGUGUGUUGUGUGUCUUUGGGGAUUCACUGUUUAAUAUGUGUGUUUACAUUGUUGGUAUUGGGUGAGUGCGCAUCCAUUCACGGUGUUGGGGGGAGAAAGCUCUGGCCUCUUGCUUCCACGAUAUUUUUCGCAUUGGUUUGAUUUGUUAAAGAUGGCGCAAUAGGGGUGGUUUUUAGCACCACAGAUGUGAGAAGUUUGUAAAACUUGUAAAAUAAAUGCCUCAGAUUCAAUUUAAGAGCCAUUUUGGUUUUGCUCCUAACUCAUCAACAAGAGUGGAAAAAGUAGAUCGUCUUAUCGAUUUAUUAUCUUGUUUUUUUUGUUACUUUAAAGGACCAUUCAAUAGUCAUGGCAAUACUAUGAAAAUGUGUUAAUUUAAAACAAAUAUUGGAAACGUGAGUAACUGUCACUCAAAGAAAGCAGGAAAUGGUUUGAAGAUAAACAUAUCCUGGUAAAUACAGCAGAGCAGCUUUAUCAGAGGGCGGGCGAGGACACGCUCUGUGUCUCUUGGCCUUCACAAAAUACUGCAUAUACAAAACGUACUCUGGAUUCUGCUGUCACAGAUGCUCAGACAUACAAUCUGAUAGGCAGAUGAGAUUAACUCAAGAGGCCAAAUGUCUUCCUUUCCUCGUCUUUACUUCAAGUUUCUCUCAGCUGCCCCACUGGCUGGAGGCUCAUUUAUUUUGGAGCUGUUGAAAGGAAAUGAUUUGCCCCAGCUGAGCCAUGUGUGCCCCUUUUAUGUGCCGUAGACAAAGUCCCCCCCCCCCGCACACUGUGUCAUAUCACUAUUAAUCUGCCUUACAAAUACUGCUCCAGUCAGGGGACAUUUCUCGGCGACCGAACAGAGCUCGUAGAUCUGUCACUGGCACGGUGGCAGAGUUGGGCAUCAUGCCAACCCCCCCCCCCCCCCCACCCCUUCUGUCUGUCUGGUCUUCUGUGAUCAGAUGAGCGGGGUCUACUGCAUGCUAACUAUGGUCUGGUCUGGACCAAGUCUCAGGGGUUGUGGCUGUAUUCUAAUUUAUGCAAGCAGUGUACCUCCUAACCCCUCUCUGUCUAUGUGAGGCCCAAGUCUGGCAUUCAGUCUGGCUCAUUAACCCUUCGGGCGCUGCCAUGUGAACCUGCUGGCCCAUCCAUACCUUUAUUUAUCCCGUAAGAGUUGAAACAGUUACUGCCUGAGGAGAAGCCAAGUCUGUCUUCAUGAGAUUAAUACAAGUUUAAGGAAGCAUAAAUACAAUCUGCUAGUUCAGUGACGCAUUUGUGAUUGAACCGAAGCUGAAGUGAUAAUGGUGCGAGUAACAUGCUAUGUGAUGAUAUGUAAACUUUCCAGCUGUCUGAUGAGUAUUGUUCGAGUUGUUCUCUUACUUUGUACCUGUGACCGUGAGGGGGUCGUUGGGUCUGUUGACUUUGUCUCACUGCUUGGCACAUCAUUUUUCUCAAUCACUGUCAAAAGAAUCACCACUCUUUCUUCCUCAGGUGACAGCAGGUUUGGAAGAACCACCGAAAUGUGGACCCUAAAAGUGUUUUUAAGCAGACCUAAAAUGGCCGAUGUGCGAGCCACCAUUUUGUGUUUCCUUGUUGUGUUUUAGGGGGCAGAAUCCCAGCCUUGUAUUCAAUCGGCGGCAGCCGGUGGAAGCCAUAUUUGUAGGGAUCUGUGUUUGUACCUCCAUCUGAGAAACAGCAGCCAGCCUACACAGGGAUAGCCCGCUGGAAUGAGCUCAGUUUUUGGCAAAAACGGAAACAAAUUCCUGGCACAGUCGAGCAGCUCUUUUUUUCUUUUUUCUCUUUUCGAUCACAUGCCAGAGAAGCUAGAGUGAAAGACGUCCCUCCAAACCGUGGCCGCUGAAGGCUGGUUGUGAUGCAGCAGUUUACAGCCAUAAGCCGUGGGCUUUGAACCAUUUCCAUGAACAGAAACAAAGAAUCAGACACAGAGAUAAAAGUGAUGAUAUGAUUACAGUCUUUUGUGCUGGCACUGAAUAUGAACACACCAGUUGAAAAUGUAAUGUAAAUAUUCUGUUAAAAAAUGACCUACCUAGUAUCAUCUUGCAUUUAUUUUACAGAGAAAGAGUCAUGGAGAGCUAAUUAAGAUAACCCUAUCUGUCUCUUUUUCUUUGUCACAUUGCAGGAGAGUUACCUUUGUGGAUCUUUGCAGUGGAAGCAAUGUGGAUGCUGUCCUUGGGGCUGAGGUAGUAGAUUGAAUAGUUGUGAGGUUGUGUAACCUCUUUUUGAGAUAACUAUACAAUCUACUGUCUUUCCCAAGGAGACAGCCGAGUCAGCAACCCGCCGACUGUCAUCUCCAGAUGGGCAAUCAUGCAAUCCAAUCAGAAUGUACAUGUGCAUUAAUCAACAUGUCACACUGUGUAAAGCAUUUUUUUUGUAGCGAGAGCAGGUUAAAUAUGUUUGUGUUUCCAAACAGGACCAACGCGUGUGGUGUGUUUUGAUCUGGGCUCUGUCAGGGUGAGGUAGUAGGUUGUAUAGUUUGGUGGGUGGGAUUGCACCCUGCUCCGGUGAUAACUAUACAGUCAAGUGCCUUCCCUGAGGAGUUCACACUUAUGAAUGCUCAACACACUCUUGUGAUAGUACCGCAUUUAUUUGUAGAUUUUACAAUAAAGUAUAUAUGUGAUUCAAAAAGUUAGUAAUGAAUUGAUUGAAGCUUUCAAAUGACAAAUAAUAUGUGCAUCUCAAUAAAGUAAUAUUACUCAAAUCUGUAAAUGAGAUCUUGAGACUGUUUGUCACCGACUGCAGCUCUGAUGGUUUAAGAUUCGUGUCCACCAGCAGCUAAUGCGUGUGUUAGUCCACAGCACCCUCUGGUGGACACUCAUGACUUAGCUUUGACUUGGAUACAGUUUGCAGAUCAGAUCAAAUGCCGUGGUGGAGUUUCAUGCUUGUUGUUUUUGCUUUCAUGUUUUCGUGCGGUUUAAUUUCAACCAAACAAUACACACAAACUCAAACCCUCACUGGCCGCCUGUUUUUUCCUCAGUUGAUUAUCUGUAAUAAAGUCUAACAUGAUGUCGGCUGAA
Molecule: RNA transcript, 5991 nt
Organism: Pseudoliparis swirei
Lineage: Eukaryota; Metazoa; Chordata; Actinopteri; Perciformes; Liparidae
Exons: 2
Source: RefSeq, a predicted model, not a curated record